Non-coding RNA from Pelobates cultripes (western spadefoot toad), 2366 nucleotides. Lineage: Eukaryota; Metazoa; Chordata; Amphibia; Anura; Pelobatidae. The record is from the annotation of a GenBank genome assembly.
AAACAAGCCUACAUUUCUAUGAAAAUGUAAGGUUUGGGGGUUUUUUGCGGCCCACAUAAACUGAAACCUCGUUUAUGUGGCCCGUGCCAGCCUUUGAGAUUGACAUGCUUGUAGUACACUUUCUGUUAGUUCUGAGGAAAUGUUGUAGUCACACUGUCUAUCUCACCAGUAGAAUGGAGAAGACUUGUCAGAUUACCCACAUAUAUAUUUAUUAUGGAAAACUGCUGAACAAAGGGCCACUAUAGUCACCAGAACCACUACAGCUCAGUAUAAUGUCCCUGCAGGUUCAGGAGUUUAAACGCUGUCUUUUCAGAGAAAAGGCACUUUUUACACUGCUGACCAAGUCCACCUCCAGUGGCUGCCCCUUGGAUAGCGAGCAGAGUGACUUUCUGGAACCUUUGAAGGACCUACAUUCUGCAUAUUCACGCUCUUCAUACAGAUUCAUUGAUAGUAAUUGAUUAGCAGCACAUGCACAGUGCCACCCUACAGUGAUUGGCUGAGAUGAUCAAAAUUAGUGAUCUCAGCCAAGGAGGAGGGGCUGCCACACUGAUGACUGAUUAACUUUAAUUUUCUUGCAUGUUUCGUUCAUUUGGUGGAAGUAGAUAUCACCAUAACAUUGCAUUAUGUAAGUGCAUGUUGCCAUGGCACCCAAGGUAACAUGUAUAAAGGAACACUUUAUUCAGUGCCUGGUUUAAAUGUCAGGCGCCUCUAGACCCCCUGUUCGCCAAAACCAAAAUAAGGCAGAUGAAGUAAGUAUAAUAAAUGUAUUAACAGGACAUUGCAGGCCUACAAACAUCAAAAAAACAUUCUUAUUUGACAACUGCGUAUGUAUAAAUGUAUGUAUGUGCCUAUCUCUGCUUGUAAUGUAUUGCAUGAGUUAUGUUAGAGGUGGUUAUGGUAAUAGGGGGUUAAGGUUAGAGAGGGGAUAAUGUCAGAGUUAGGUUACAUAGGAUGUUUAGUGUUAAGAUGAUAAAUAGCUUUAGAGGGGUUACAUUUGUAGUACAAGGAAAUUUAGUAUUGGUGUACACUGAGUGUUUCGCUCCUUAUUGGUGAUAAUCCCAAAAUUAAGGAUUACUGUUCUUCAGGUUGAGGCUUUGACUGCCGGAGUUUGAAGGAUUAUUAGCAAAUUUCUCUCUAUGUCUUCUGUAAACCAAUCAGAUUGAUGAUAUUAGAGCUGCAGUAGCUGUUAUACAGUGUGCAUCACUCUGUGCUGUCCCACAUUUCCUGUGUUAGAGGCUGUUAGUGACAGAUGGGAAGUGAUCCCUGUCACUAAGUGUCUGUAUCAGUUUAACAUAACUACAUUCUCCCGUGUGUCCUUCUUUGUCUGUCCUGAAUAUCGAGAACGAUCCUUUUAACACGUAUUUUUGCCUUGUGAUGUCCUAUGCCUAAAGAAGUUUAAAAGUGAAGGAAAUUCGUGCCAUGAGACACUGAUUCUUGCAUUGGCAGCCCACCGUACAUAAAUAGUGACUUUGCCAAGGCUUAAAGAAAUUGGCAGUGGGAUUUGUACAAAGUCACGAUUUAUACAGGCAGAGGUAUCUUGAGUUGAUUUGACUCAUAAAUCAACACGUUACAUCAUUUUUUGUUUAAAUUGUCCCACUUGUAACAGGGUUUUUCAAACAUGUGAAAAAAAAACGAAAUGGAGGCACCAUAUGUUAGAAUAAUUCGGGAACAAAUUGCGUGGGGUAUUAUGGGUAUUUGCACUCAAAUAAUUUUAAAUUUAACUGGAUGCAGUUGUACAGAACUGAACGGGUCAUUUGUAGGAUGGAGAAUAGGCAGCUCCGUGGGAAUGCCUGAAUAUUCCAAACCCAGUUGGAGACGCUGUGAUUUUAGGUGCUGAAACAUUUUCAUUCAGCUCAGUUGUGCAAAAAACAUAAAAUGUGACAGCAGAUAUUUGGCCCAUAUAGUCUGCCCAAUUUUCUAAAUACUUUCAUUAGUCGCUGGCCUUAUCUUAUAGUUAGGAUAGCCUUACGCCUAUCCCACGCAUGCUUAAACUCCUUUACUGUGUUAACCUCUACCACUUCAGCUGGAAGGCUAUUCCAUGCAUCCACUACCCUCUCAGUAAAGUAAUACUUCCUGAUAUUAUUUUUAAACCUUUGCCCCUCUAAUUUAAGACCAUAUCUGAACAAAAUAUUCAAUAAGCAAUGCAAACUGUUUAAAUUACCCUACCCAUCCAAACCGAUGCGAUCAGUGCUAGCGUUGGGGAGUCUAAUGGCAUUGCAAAUGAUCAUAAUAAAUCAAAACCCUUCGCAAUCAAAAUGCAAUUAGACCGAAGACAUUAGACAUUAGGGUGAACAAAUGGACUUUUAUUGUAAUCCAAUCAACACUUUUAAACUCGUACUUUUAGUGACUGCUUAAUAUACUUUUAG